RNAcentral lists this ribosomal RNA (253 nucleotides) under uncultured bacterium. Its description in RNAcentral is "partial 16S ribosomal RNA". It matches the Rfam family "Bacterial small subunit ribosomal RNA", at positions 524 to 776 of the family's 1533-position model. The record is from RNAcentral.
GACGGAGGGGGCUAGCGUUGUUCGGAAUUACUGGGCGUAAAGAGUGCGUAGGCGGUUUAGUAAGUUGGAAGUGAAAGCCCGAGGCUUAACCUCGGAACUGCUUUCAAAACUACUAAUCUAGAGUGUAGUAGGGGAUGAUGGAAUUCCUAGUGUAGAGGUGAAAUUCUUAGAUAUUAGGAGGAACACCGGUGGCGAAGGCGGUCAUCUGGGCUACAACUGACGCUGAUGCACGAAAGCGUGGGGAGCAAACAGG